RNAcentral lists this long non-coding RNA (214 nucleotides) under Physcomitrium patens. RNAcentral describes it as "long non-coding RNA (PPAT_LNC013751)". Lineage: Eukaryota; Viridiplantae; Streptophyta; Bryopsida; Funariales; Funariaceae. The record is from RNAcentral.
GAGCCUCUUCACUUUCAUCUACAAUAUCCCAAAGAUCCAAAGAUGCCAACAAAAGCUCCAUUUUGACCUUCCAAUGGUAGAAAUUUUCACCUCUAAACUUCUCAAUGAUUUUUAAGCCUUCACCCUCACUUGAAGCCAUGUCUAAGGCAGAGUUGUAUCAACAAAGGUUGUAAGUGGAAGUCCUAAUGUUCUUAAAAUCAGCAAGAAGGUUUAG